GGCCUGAUGGUCUAGGGGUAUGAUUCCUGCUUUGGGUGCAGGAGGUCCCGGGUUCAAAUCCCGGUCAGGCCC
RNAcentral lists this transfer RNA (72 nucleotides) under Penaeus monodon (black tiger shrimp). RNAcentral's name for it is "tRNA-Pro". It matches the Rfam family "tRNA". From Rfam's summary of the family: Transfer RNA (tRNA) molecules are approximately 80 nucleotides in length. Their secondary structure includes four short double-helical elements and three loops (D, anti-codon, and T loops). RNAcentral also lists the same sequence under 3 other names. The record is from RNAcentral. Lineage: Eukaryota; Metazoa; Arthropoda; Malacostraca; Decapoda; Penaeidae.